GCCGGGCGCGGUGGCGCGUGCCUGUAGUCCCAGCUACUCGGGAGGCUGAGGUGGGAGGAUCGCUUGAGCCCAGGAGUUCUGGGCUGUAGUGCGCUAUGCCGAUCGGGUGUCCGCACUAAGUUCGGCAUCAAUAUGGUGACCUCCCGGGAGCGGGGGACCACCAGGUUGCCUAAGGAGGGGUGAACCGGCCCAGGUCGGAAACGGAGCAGGUCAAAACUCCCGUGCUGAUCAGUAGUGGGAUCGCGCCUGUGAAUAGCCACUGCACUCCAGCCUGGGCAACAUAGCGAGACCCUGUCUCU
Unclassified non-coding RNA from Cercocebus atys (sooty mangabey), 299 nucleotides. It matches the Rfam family "Metazoan signal recognition particle RNA". From Rfam's summary of the family: The signal recognition particle (SRP) is a universally conserved ribonucleoprotein. It is involved in the co-translational targeting of proteins to membranes. The eukaryotic SRP consists of a 300-nucleotide 7S RNA and six proteins: SRPs 72, 68, 54, 19, 14, and 9. Lineage: Eukaryota; Metazoa; Chordata; Mammalia; Primates; Cercopithecidae. The record is from Ensembl.